This 624-nucleotide ribosomal RNA is filed under the name Philonthus explorator. RNAcentral describes it as "partial large subunit ribosomal RNA". The record is from RNAcentral. Lineage: Eukaryota; Metazoa; Arthropoda; Insecta; Coleoptera; Staphylinidae.
CGAUCAGGGGUAAACCUGAGAAACCCGAAAGGUCGAAUGGGGAGAUUCAGCGUGUCUCGUCGAAGGAGUGUUUUGGUCUAGUGACGAUCCGGUGUUCGCACCGGGCUGCACAUUCCGAAUCCGUAACCGGCGACGAACUCGUGCACUUCUCCCCUAGUAGGACGUCGCGACCCGUUGGGUGCCGGUCUAAGGCCGACGGAGGAGACUUGGGGGAGUUCCUCGGAAUGUUCUUCAAGACCCGUCGUGUCCCGGCCGGCCCGCUCGACGGUAAGACAGAGGCGUGGGGUCGCUACUAGUUAGCGUCCGGCCCGUCACAAGUUCGGGCGACUGCUCGGAUGUCGGACCUGUGUGCCGACCCCGAGAUCGCACGGCUGUUGGUGGCGGUGUCCUCGGACAGACUUCGAACACGCCGGUCGGCGACGCUCUAGCUUUGGGUACUUUCAGGACCCGUCUUGAAACACGGACCAAGGAGUCUAGCAUGUGCGCGAGUCAUUGGGACCGCAUCUAAACCUAAUGGCAAAAUGAAAGUGAAGGCCGCCUUGCGCGUGCCGAGGGAGGAUGGGUCGGGCUCCGCUCGCAACCCCGCACUCCCUGGGCGUCUCGUUCUCAUCGCGAGAUGAGGCG